This 410-nucleotide ribosomal RNA is filed under the name Facklamia sp. Its description in RNAcentral is "bacterial SSU rRNA". It matches the Rfam family "Bacterial small subunit ribosomal RNA", at positions 975 to 1387 of the family's 1533-position model. The record is from RNAcentral. Lineage: Bacteria; Bacillati; Bacillota; Bacilli; Lactobacillales; Aerococcaceae.
CAGGUCUUGACAUCCCCUGCAUAGCCUAGAGAUAGGUGAAGUCCUUCGGGACAGGGAGACAGGUGGUGCAUGGUUGUCGUCAGCUCGUGUCGUGAGAUGUUGGGUUAAGUCCCGCAACGAGCGCAACCCCUAUCAUUAGUUGCCAGCAUUCAGUUGGGGACUCUAAUGAGACUGCCGGUGACAAACCGGAGGAAGGUGGGGAUGACGUCAAAUCAUCAUGCCCCUUAUGACCUGGGCUACACACGUGCUACAAUGGAUGGUACAGCGAGCAGCAACCCCGCGAGGGCAAGCGAAUCUCUCAAAGCCAUUCUCAGUUCGGAUUGUUCUCUGCAACUCGAGAACAUGAAGCCGGAAUCGCUAGUAAUCGUGGAUCAGCACGCCACGGUGAAUACGUUCCCGGGCCUUGUACA